This 509-nucleotide long non-coding RNA is filed under the name Manihot esculenta (cassava). RNAcentral's name for it is "long non-coding RNA (MESC_LNC008733)". Lineage: Eukaryota; Viridiplantae; Streptophyta; Magnoliopsida; Malpighiales; Euphorbiaceae. The record is from RNAcentral.
ACAUCAACCAUGAAAGAAAGAUAAAUCAAUUCAUAUAAUAAUUUAUAUAUUUAUUUAAAAUUUAUUAUUAAGUUUAGUUUAAUUCGAUUGAAUUUAAAAAUUAAACUAUAAAUAAAUUAAAUUAUAAAAAAUAAAUGAAGUUAAAAUCAGUUUAAUUUAUGUUGAAUCUUAUAUCGGUUUGAGAUAGAAAUAUGAAUUUUAGAUACUCCUACCUUUUAACUAGUUUUUAGAGUGAGUUAGAUGUGACUCAAAAUUAAUAUGAUAUCAAAUCUUUCUCAUUGAUAUUGAGCCUUUAUCGGAUCGACCUAAAAAUUUAACAGUCAAUAAUAAUAAAAAAAAAUAUUUACUUGGAGCAGUCGACGUUGGGGCUGACUUGGAAGGGAAUAGAGACGCCACAUUUGCCAGCCAGGCCACCAGCCAAGCUAUAGUUAAUACCAGGAAUUUGAGCUGCAUUUGAUUUCAAGCAUUUACAAGCCUGUUGGCGAUCAGGAGUGGUCUUAGCUUCUGCG